CCAACUAAAACUAUUAUCUAACCCCCUAUAGGUCCGACUCACCAACUAAAACUAUGAUCUAACCCCCUAUAGGUCCGACUCACCAACUAAAACUAUUAUCUAACCCCUAUAGGUCCGACUCACCAACUAAAACUAUUAUCUAACCCCCUAUAGAUCUGACUCACCAACUAAAACUAUUAUCUAACCCCCUAUAGGUCCGACUCACCAACUAAAACUAUUAUCUAACCCCCUAUAGGUCCGACUCACCAACUAAAACUAUUAUCUAACCCCUAUAGGUCCGACUCACCAACUAAAACUAUUAUCUAACCCCUAUAGGUCCGACUCACCAACUAAAACUAUUAUCUAACCCCUAUAGGUCCGACUCACCAACUAAAACUAUUAUCUAACCCCCUAUAGGUCCGACUCACCAACUAAAACUAUUAUCUAACCCCCUAUAGGUCCGACUCACCAACUAAAACUAUUAUCUAACCCCCUAUAGGUCCGACUCACCAACUAAACAAAAUACGGGGGGGGGUUUUCUUCAAAACAUCACAUAACGUCUUCCAGAUAUCUGAGGACACCCUUCCCUCUGAAGGUCGGACCAGUCUGUCACAAGGGUGGAAAAGAUGACGGAUUACCCACACUGAUUGACAAAGUCUAAAACUUCAAGGGUGACCUCCUCCUCCUCCUCUUUAUAUUAUUGAUAUGGGGCCGCUGUAAUAGUCCAGAAAAGGCUACAUAUACCAAGGGGAUAACUGGACUCUCAUCCAUAAAGCCACGGAGCCAGUCACACUCGCAGAGGACACGAUUUGGAUAACUCCCCCCCCCCAGUGAAUUGAUGUCAUGAUCCUGGUGCAGAA
This 839-nucleotide long non-coding RNA is filed under the name Salmo salar (Atlantic salmon). RNAcentral's name for it is "lncRNA (ENSSSAG00000087734.1)". The record is from RNAcentral. Lineage: Eukaryota; Metazoa; Chordata; Actinopteri; Salmoniformes; Salmonidae.